UCCGAUGUUUCUUCUGUCAUGUCCUGUGG
This 29-nucleotide non-coding RNA is filed under the name Rattus norvegicus (Norway rat). The record is from RNAcentral. Lineage: Eukaryota; Metazoa; Chordata; Mammalia; Rodentia; Muridae.